ACGCUGGCGGCAGGCCUAACACAUGCAAGUCGAGCGGUAGAGAGAAGCUUGCUUCUCUUGAGAGCGGCGGACGGGUGAGUAAUGCCUAGGAAUCUGCCUGGUAGUGGGGGAUAACGUUCGGAAACGGACGCUAAUACCGCAUACGUCCUACGGGAGAAAGCAGGGGACCUUCGGGCCUUGCGCUAUCAGAUGAGCCUAGGUCGGAUUAGCUAGUUGGUGGGGUAAUGGCUCACCAAGGCGACGAUCCGUAACUGGUCUGAGAGGAUGAUCAGUCACGCUGGAACUGAGACACGGUCCAGACUCCUACGGGAGGCAGCAGUGGGGAAUAUUGGACAAUGGGCGAAAGCCUGAUCCAGCCAUGCCGCGUGUGUGAAGAAGGUCUUCGGAUUGUAAAGCACUUUAAGUUGGGAGGAAGGGUUGUAGAUUAAUACUCUGCAAUUUUGACGUUACCGACAGAAUAAGCACCGGCUAACUCUGUGCCAGCAGCCGCGGUAAUACAGAGGGUGCAAGCGUUAAUCGGAAUUACUGGGCGUAAAGCGCGCGUAGGUGGUUAGUUAAGUUGGAUGUGAAAUCCCCGGGCUCAACCUGGGAACGCAUUCAAAACUGACUGACUAGAGUAUGGUAGAGGGUGGUGGAAUUUCCUGUGUAGCGGUGAAAUGCGUAGAUAUAGGAAGGAACACCAGUGGCGAAGGCGACCACCUGGACUGAUACUGACACUGAGGUGCGAAAGCGUGGGGAGCAAAC
RNAcentral lists this ribosomal RNA (744 nucleotides) under uncultured bacterium. RNAcentral's name for it is "bacterial SSU rRNA". It matches the Rfam family "Bacterial small subunit ribosomal RNA", at positions 33 to 773 of the family's 1533-position model. The record is from RNAcentral.